RNAcentral lists this ribosomal RNA (460 nucleotides) under uncultured bacterium. RNAcentral's name for it is "partial 16S ribosomal RNA". It matches the Rfam family "Bacterial small subunit ribosomal RNA", at positions 338 to 795 of the family's 1533-position model. The record is from RNAcentral.
CCUACGGGAGGCAGCAGUGAGGAAUAUUGGUCAAUGGGCGUAAGCCUGAACCAGCCAAGUCGCGUGAGGGAUGAAGGUUCUAUGGAUCGUAAACCUCUUUUAUAAGGGAAUAAAGUGCGGGACGUGUCCCGUUUUGUAUGUACCUUAUGAAUAAGGAUCGGCUAACUCCGUGCCAGCAGCCGCGGUAAUACGGAGGAUCCGAGCGUUAUCCGGAUUUAUUGGGGUUAAAGGGUGCGUAGGCGGCCUUUUAAGUCAGCGGUGAAAGUCUGUGGCUCAACCAUAGAAUUGCCGUUGAAACUGGGAGGCUUGAGUAUGUUUGAGGCAGGCGGAAUGCGUGGUGUAGCGGUGAAAUGCUUAGAUAUCACGCAGAACCCCGAUUGCGAAGGCAGCCUACCAAGCCAUGACUGACGCUGAUGCACGAAAGCGUGGGGAUCAAACAGGAUUAGAUACCCUUGUAGUC